UUGAGCCGUAUGCAGUGAAAGUUGCACGUACGGUUCUUAGAGGGGCGGCACUUGGUAACAAGUGUCGUCUACUCGAC
Molecule: non-coding RNA, 77 nt
Organism: Photobacterium sp.
Lineage: Bacteria; Pseudomonadati; Pseudomonadota; Gammaproteobacteria; Vibrionales; Vibrionaceae
Source: Rfam